This 468-nucleotide ribosomal RNA is filed under the name uncultured bacterium. RNAcentral's name for it is "partial 16S ribosomal RNA". It matches the Rfam family "Bacterial small subunit ribosomal RNA", at positions 28 to 507 of the family's 1533-position model. The record is from RNAcentral.
GACGAACGCUGGCGGCGUGCUUAACACAUGCAAGUCGAACGGAAAGGCCCUGCUUUUGUGGGGUGCUCGAGUUGCGAACGGGUGAGUAACACGUGAGUAACCUGCCCUUGCCUUUGGGAUAACUUCAGGAAACUGGGGCUAAUACCGGAUAGGAGCUCCUGCUGCAUGGUGGGGGUUGGAAAGUUUCGGCGGUUGGGGAUGGACUCGCGGCUUAUCAGCUUGUUGGUGGGGUAGUGGCUUACCAAGGCCUUGACGGGUAGCCGGCCUGAGAGGGUGACCGGCCACAUUGGGACUGAGAUACGGCCCAGACUCCUACGGGAGGCAGCAGUGGAGAAUAUUGCACAAUGGGCGGAAGCAUGAUGCAGCAACGCCGCGUGCGGGAUGACGGCCUUAGGGUUGUAAACCGCUUUCGCCUGUGACGAAGCGUGAGUGACGGUAAUGGGUAAAGAAGCACCGGCUAACUACGUG